RNAcentral lists this ribosomal RNA (556 nucleotides) under uncultured bacterium. RNAcentral's name for it is "bacterial SSU rRNA". It matches the Rfam family "Bacterial small subunit ribosomal RNA", at positions 338 to 915 of the family's 1533-position model. The record is from RNAcentral.
CCUACGGGAGGCAGCAGUGGGGAAUCUUGCGCAAUGGGCGAAAGCCUGACGCAGCCAUGCCGCGUGGAUGAUGAAGGUCUUAGGAUUGUAAAAUCCUUUCACCGGUGAAGAUAAUGACUGUAGCCGGAGAAGAAGCCCCGGCUAACUUCGUGCCAGCAGCCGCGGUAAUACGAAGGGGGCUAGCGUUGCUCGGAAUUACUGGGCGUAAAGGGAGCGUAGGCGGACAUUUAAGUCAGAGGUGAAAUCCCGGAGCUUAACUUCGGAACUGCCUUUGAUACUGGGUGUCUUGAGUGUGAGAGAGGUAUGUGGAACUCCGAGUGUAGAGGUGAAAUUCGUAGAUAUUCGGAAGAACACCAGUGGCGAAGGCGACAUACUGGCUCAUUACUGACGCUGAGGCUCGAAAGCGUGGGGAGCAAACAGGAUUAGAUACCCUGGUAGUCCACGCCGUAAACGAUGAUUGCUAGUUGUCGGGAAGCUUGCUUCUCGGUGACGCAGCUAACGCAUUAAGCAAUCCGCCUGGGGAGUACGGUCGCAGAUUAAACUCAAAGGAUUGACG